Molecule: ribosomal RNA, 411 nt
Filed under: uncultured bacterium
Lineage: Bacteria
Description: bacterial SSU rRNA
Rfam family: Bacterial small subunit ribosomal RNA
Source: RNAcentral
ACUCCGAAACUGCAUUCGAUACUGCCGUGCUUGAGGACUGGAGAGGAGACUGGAAUUUACGGUGUAGCGGUGAAAUGCGUAGAUAUCGUAAGGAAGACCAGUGGCGAAGGCGGGUCUCUGGACAGUUCCUGACGCUGAGGCACGAAGGUCAGGGGAGCAAACGGGAUUAGAUACCCCGGUAGUCCUGACAGUAAACGGUGCACGUUUGGUGUGGGAGGAUUCGACCCCUUCUGCGCCGGAGCUAACGCGUUAAACGUGCCGCCUGGGGAGUACGGUCGCAAGAUUAAAACUCAAAGAAAUUGACGGGGGCCCGCACAAGCGGUGGAGUAUGUGGCUCAAUUUGAUGCAACGCGAAGAACCUUACCAGGCCUUGACAUGCAUCUCUAAGUUGGUGAAAGCCAGCGAGUCCCG